This 72-nucleotide transfer RNA is filed under the name Camelus bactrianus (Bactrian camel). It matches the Rfam family "tRNA". From Rfam's summary of the family: Transfer RNA (tRNA) molecules are approximately 80 nucleotides in length. Their secondary structure includes four short double-helical elements and three loops (D, anti-codon, and T loops). Lineage: Eukaryota; Metazoa; Chordata; Mammalia; Artiodactyla; Camelidae. The record is from Rfam by way of RNAcentral. RNAcentral also lists the same sequence under 1 other name.
GAGGGUGUAGCUUAGGGGUACAGCGCAUGCUUAGCAUGCACGAGGUCCUGGGUUCAAGCCCCCGUACCGCCA